RNAcentral lists this ribosomal RNA (460 nucleotides) under uncultured bacterium. RNAcentral describes it as "partial 16S ribosomal RNA". It matches the Rfam family "Bacterial small subunit ribosomal RNA", at positions 338 to 795 of the family's 1533-position model. The record is from RNAcentral.
CCUACGGGUGGCAGCAGUGAGGAAUAUUGGUCAAUGGGCGCGAGCCUGAACCAGCCAAGUAGCGUGAAGGAUGGCUGCCCUACGGGUUGUAAACUUCUUUUAUAAAGGAAUAAAGUGAGGCACGUGUGCCUUUUUGUAUGUACUUUAUGAAUAAGGAUCGGCUAACUCCGUGCCAGCAGCCGCGGUAAUACGGAGGAUCCGAGCGUUAUUCGGAUUUAUUGGGGUUAAAGGGAGCGUAGAUGGGUUGUUAAGUCAGUUGUGAAAGUUUGCGGCUCAACCGUAAAAUUGCAAUUGAUACUGGCAGUCUUGAGUACAGUUGAGGUAGGCGGAAUUCGUGGUGUAGCGGUGAAAUGCUUAGAUAUCACGAAGAACUCCGAUUGCGAAGGCAGCUUACUAAGCUGCCACUGACAUUGAUGCUCGAAAGCGUGGGGAGCAAACAGGAUUAGAUACCCGAGUAGUC